RNAcentral lists this RNase P RNA (407 nucleotides) under Myxococcales bacterium. RNAcentral describes it as "RNase P RNA component class A". It matches the Rfam family "Bacterial RNase P class A". From Rfam's summary of the family: Ribonuclease P (RNase P) is a ubiquitous endoribonuclease, found in archaea, bacteria and eukarya as well as chloroplasts and mitochondria. Its best characterised activity is the generation of mature 5'-ends of tRNAs by cleaving the 5'-leader elements of precursor-tRNAs. The record is from RNAcentral. Lineage: Bacteria; Pseudomonadati; Myxococcota; Myxococcia; Myxococcales.
UCAGUGAGGGGCGCGGCCGCCGGUGACCUCGGUCACGGGAGGAAAGUCCGAGCUCCGCAGGGCAGGGUGCUGGUUAACGGCCAGUCGAGGUGACUUGCAGGACAGUGCCACAGAAAACACACCGCCUCUCAGCCGUCCGCUUCGGCGGGCGGGGACGAGGUAAGGUCGAACCGGUGCGGCAAGAGCGCACUCCACCCCGGGUGACCGGGGUGCGCGGUAAACCCCACCUGGAGCAAGGCCGAAUAGGGACCCCCGCCGGGCACUUCGGUGUUCGGUAACAGGUUGCCCGCCUGCGGGUCCGGGUAGAGGCUGCUGGAGCGCGUCGGCAACGGCGGGCCUAGAGGAAUGGUCGCGGUCGUCCACCUCGGUGGGCGGCACAAAACUCGGCUUACAACCUCACUGGCGUC